UGAGGAAUAUUGGUCAAUGGGCGCGAGCCUGAACCAGCCAAGUCGCGUGAGGGAAGACGGUCCUAUGGAUUGUAAACCUCUUUUGUCGGGGAGCAAGAAAGGGUAUGCAUACCCUACUGAGAGUACCCGAAGAAAAAGCAUCGGCUAACUCCGUGCC
Molecule: ribosomal RNA, 157 nt
Filed under: uncultured bacterium
Lineage: Bacteria
Description: partial 16S ribosomal RNA
Rfam family: Bacterial small subunit ribosomal RNA
Source: RNAcentral